CUGCCUGAUGGAGGGGGAUAACUACUGGAAACGGUGGCUAAUACCGCAUAACGUCGCAAGACCAAAGAGGGGGACCUUCGGGCCUCUUGCCAUCAGAUGUGCCCAGAUGGGAUUAGCUUGUUGGUGAGGUAACGGCUCACCAAGGCGACGAUCCCUAGCUGGUCUGAGAGGAUGACCAGCCACACUGGAACUGAGACACGGUCCAGACUCCUACGGGAGGCAGCAGUGGGGAAUAUUGCACAAUGGGCGCAAGCCUGAUGCAGCCAUGCCGCGUGUAUGAAGAAGGCCUUCGGGUUGUAAAGUACUUUCAGCGGGGAGGAAGGUGUUGUGGUUAAUAACCGCAGCAAUUGACGUUACCCGCAGAAGAAGCACCGGCUAACUCCGUGCCAGCAGCCGCGGUAAUACGGAGGGUGCAAGCGUUAAUCGGAAUUACUGGGCGUAAAGCGCACGCAGGCGGUCUGUCAAGUCGGAUGUGAAAUCCCCGGGCUCAACCUGGGAACUGCAUUCGAAACUGGCAGGCUUGAGUCUUGUAGAGGGGGGUAGAAUUCCAGGUGUAGCGGUGAAAUGCGUAGAGAUCUGGAGGAAUACCGGUGGCGAAGGCGGCCCCCUGGACAAAGACUGACGCUCAGGUGCGAAAGCGUGGGGAGCAAACAGGAUUAGAUACCCUGGUAGUCCACGCCGUAAACGAUGUCUACUUGGAGGUUGUGCCCUUGAGGCGUGGCUUCCGGAGCUAACGCGUUAAGUAGACCGCCUGGGGAGUACGGCCGCAAGGUUAAAACUCAAAUGAAUUGACGGGGGCCCGCACAAGCGGUGGAGCAUGUGGUUUAAUUCGAUGCAACGCGAAGAACCUUACCUGGUCUUGACAUCCACAGAACUUUCCAGAGAUGGAUUGGUGCCUUCGGGAACUGUGAGACAGGUGCUGCAUGGCUGUCGUCAGCUCGUGUUGUGAAAUGUUGGGUUAAGUCCCGCAACGAGCGCAACCC
Molecule: ribosomal RNA, 983 nt
Filed under: Salmonella enterica
Lineage: Bacteria; Pseudomonadati; Pseudomonadota; Gammaproteobacteria; Enterobacterales; Enterobacteriaceae
Description: bacterial SSU rRNA
Rfam family: Bacterial small subunit ribosomal RNA
Source: RNAcentral